UUGCAUGCAUUUUAUUAGACUGUCGCUGGCCCUCUCUCAGGGGGGAGGGCAUGUGCACGUCCGUCCGCUUUUCUGUACACUUUCCUUACACACAACCCACACCUGUGCACCUAUUGUAGACCCCCUCGAAAGAGGGAUCUAUGUUUUCCAAUCACACCUAUCGUAUGUCCAUAGAAUGAAUUAUAAUUAUUA
This 192-nucleotide unclassified non-coding RNA is filed under the name uncultured Boletales. RNAcentral describes it as "sequence contains ITS1". The record is from RNAcentral. Lineage: Eukaryota; Fungi; Basidiomycota; Agaricomycetes; Boletales.